This 390-nucleotide ribosomal RNA is filed under the name Triticum aestivum (bread wheat). Its description in RNAcentral is "partial small subunit ribosomal RNA". The record is from RNAcentral. Lineage: Eukaryota; Viridiplantae; Streptophyta; Magnoliopsida; Poales; Poaceae.
AUGAAGAUACAUGCUUCAGUUCCCUCCAUGCCAUUUGUGAUUGCAGCAAUGGACCCAAUGUGCCCCAGGUGUGGUGAUGACCGUCACGAAAGGUGCGACAGGGUGGUUGAAUUGGGGCUGGGAUGCUCGAAGGCUGGCCCAAGCAACAAUUUCCUCGGGUCCAAAUGUUUGCCAGAACAAAACAUACAAUUGACAUUUUUUUCGAAAAGGGGGGCUACCCGGCCUCUGCAUCAGAGUGAUGCGUACGGCCAUCUUAUUAACCAAAUAACAAAAAGUGUCAACAAGGUUCCAAAGUCUCCAGUUGAUAGAAGGAAAAUGCAGCUCACACAGAGCUUAAGAAGGCUAGAUACACAAACUAGCCAGGAAAAGAUGCCACAACCGGCUGGCUAA